This 273-nucleotide ribosomal RNA is filed under the name uncultured prokaryote. Its description in RNAcentral is "partial 16S ribosomal RNA". It matches the Rfam family "Bacterial small subunit ribosomal RNA", at positions 524 to 796 of the family's 1533-position model. The record is from RNAcentral.
UACGGAGGAUCCGAGCGUUAUCCGGAUUUACUGGGUUUAAAGGGUGCGUAGGCGGGUGGCUCAGUCGGCGGUGAAAUGCAGCGGCUCAACCGUUGCCCUGCCGUCGAAACUGGCCGCCUUGAAUUCGGUCGAGGCCGGCGGAAUGCGCGGUGUAGCGGUGAAAUGCUUAGAUAUCGCGCGGAACGCCGAUUGCGGAGGCAGCUGGCUGGACCGAGAUUGACGCUGAUGCACGACAGCGUGGGGAUCGAACAGGAUUAGAAACCCUAGUAGUCC